UUUUCUUUUUUCUCUCCAUUCUCCACUUCUUCAAUUGGGAAGACUUCCUUUUUCCUCACCAUUUCCGUAACUGGUGGCUCCUCCCUCUAUUUGUUCUGCAGGAGGCAACUCGAACUCUCAUCCUGUACAAGCUCUCAACAAUAUCUCUGCAACUGGUUUUGUGGUCCUACAACCAAGCCCUCCAAUUAACAGAACGACAACCGCAUAAGUGCAACAACGUGUAGCGGGAAAUUCAUGAUCAUCAAGCUAUUGACAAGCUAAAGAUCAAUUAACAAGAGUCGCCACCGCGCCUUUAUUGUUUCCAAGGGAAAAGGGAAAAAGUAUGAACAAAACCCAAAAAGUAAGAAGUUUUCAAAUAAAAACUAAUAAAAGUCAGAGAUUACAGGUAAGGGGGUUGGUUACACAGAGGGAAGGUGUUAGCACCCAAAGUGUCCUAGGUACUCCUAGGGAGCCCUUUUUGUAUGCAUAUGUACUUGGUAUAAAGUGAUGUUUUACAAAAACAAAUUGAAUGGGGGGAUGAGAAAAGAUUCAUUAAUUACAUUUUUGUGUUUGACAAGACUUUCGGUCUUGUGCCUACGUACCAACUAAAAAUGAGGGAUCAAAACCUCGUAGUUCAUGCUAAAUAAUUUCAAAAUGAGUGUGUUAGUUUUAACAAAAUUUAAGUUUGAAAGGCACAAAUCCUGAAAAUGGUUUUUGAAUGAGUUAGUUCUUUUUGGCUUUUUUGAAAGUUUAAGUCAAGUAUAGUUAAAUUUAUUUACAAGUUUGAUUUAAGAAAAUAAGUUUGAAAAUGCAAUGGCAUAAGGCCAAAGUUUCUAUCUUUUUUAAAAGUGGUCAAAGUUUGGAACAAAAGUAGUUCACACAAAGAAGAUUUUGAAAAUGGAGGGAGAGAUUUUGAAAUUAAAGAAAAUAGGGAGAAGAUGAAGAGACUACCCUAUGCACAAAAAUUUAAAAGUUUAAAGUUGAAAAGAUCUGACCAAAUGGGUAGCAAUCCAAUAGACAAGUAUGUCAAUAGAAACCCAGAAUUCCCUUGGACUUUUAGAAUCAAGCAACACACAAAUGCAUAAUUAUCAUCUUGAAGAGCAAAGGCAUCAAAUAAAGAUGGCUUCAUCCAAGCUUAUCCACUUCAUGAUCUUCUCCAAAAUAGCCUAUGUAGCAAAUGAAUUCCAUAAAUCACAGGUUCAAAAUAACAGCUUCACAAUGAUCAAUGUUGCAGAUGACUCUUAGAGAGAUCUUCAAAGAUGUAUCAGAUGAAUUUUAGAUUGCAAGCACUUGGUUCUUCAACAAAUUGGCAUUGUCCAAGUCCAUUAACAAAGGAAUGUUGCCUAAGUUCUAAGUCCAUUUGGGCAAGAUUAACCCAACAGUCCACUCAAAAGUUUUUUAGGGUUUUUAUGAUUAUUAUGUGCAUUAAUGGUCAAAGACCACACAAACAAACAAAGUAUAUACAAACAAAGUAUAUCACACAAUAUGGUCCAAAUGGACAAAGUGAAAAUUACAUUAACAUAAACAAUUAGAAUGAUAUGUAUAAUGGCAAAUGAUAUAAAGUGCUAAAAGUAAAUUGCAUUAAAGUAAAAGUAUAUCACACAAUAUGGUCCAAAUGGACAAAGUGAAAAUUACAUUAACAUAAACAAUUAGAAUGAUAUGUAUAAUGGCAAAUGAUAUAAAGUGCUAAAAGUAAAUUGCAUUAAAGUAAAGACUUAAAGUUAAAAUUUAAUGGUUAGUAAGUUAGUAGUUAGUUUUGUUUUACUUUUACUUUUCAAGACAUUCUUUGGAGAACACUCAACCCACUUGCCACAAGCAUGGAUCCUUGAACCAAAACAUCUUCUAAAGGAAGGAAAGAAGGCCAGGUUUCCACACAAUACCAUGGAAGAGGGGAGACUUACAAUCUCACUAACUAGAAUGCUUAUGUCUUCUGUGUCACAAGUUUAGCGCUAUGUUAAGCAAUCGUAAUUGGACUUAUGUAGAAGUCACAACUAUUUGAGGUCGGGCAAUAAACUUUUGGUGUUAAUGCAUGUUGGAGACAUAGUAUAUGAACUAUGCUCAUUAAACAUACCACACACAAAAAAUAUAUGCAAAAGGUGUGGCCUAAUCUCAUCCAUACUCAUGUUAAUCUUUCAAUCAACUAGCAUUAGGACUUUGAGAUGUCAUAGGCCAAAUGGAAAUGAAUAGAUGAAGAAGGGGAAUUAGAUGAAGUGGGAAGGGGAUGAAUGAGAUCACAAAUUGGUCAAAGGAGGACUUUUACCAAAUUAAUAUCAUUCAUUCAUUUUAGGAGAUGGAAUGUACAUUCCAUCAAUCCCCUAAAUCCAAUGAUAUUAACUUAACAAAGUCAAUCAACCUUGACCAAGGCCCAAUAACAAACAAGCAAACUCAAUUAAGUCAAUACAAAUGGUCAACAAAAUUUAAAUGACAUUUAUUCAAUAAAAAAUAGUAAAGUAAUGCAUUAAAUUCAAAUAUGUUUUGUCCAAUUCCUAAAAUCUCAUCUAAACACCAAAGAAAUGGCCAUGAGAUUUAUCGUAGGUCAAACAAGGUCAAAGGACCUUGGAGAAAAAAUUUCAUAAUUUUUGGACAUUUAAAAAUAUUUUUAAACAAUUAAAAACAAAUGCAAAAACAAUUAAUUCAUGAAAAAUAUUAAUAAUGAUCCAGAAAAAAUUUCAUAAUUUUUGGACAUUUAAAAAUAUUUUUAAACAAUUAAAAACAAAUGCAAAAACAAUUAAUUCAUGAAAAAUAUUAAUAAUGAUCCAAAAAAUAAUUUUAAUUCAGAAUAUGAAAUAGAAAAACAUUUGAAUUUUUUUGGUGAAAGUCCCAUAUUUUUUGGAUCAAUAUUGAAUUUAAUAUGAAUUAUUGAAGAAAAAGCAAUUAAAACAAAAUUUCAGAAAUUGUAAAUUACGUGGACAAUCAGAUCUCCCUCAUUAAUUGAGGUGGCAAAUCUGAUGAUUCAAAAAGCGCGUUCCAUGUGUUCCUGAGUCAACCGCAUGGUACAAAUGGUAAUUAAAACAAACGCUUCAGAUUAAAACGUGAGACAUGGAUCCUAUGGUUCAGAAGUGAGACACAUCAUCGUCGGAGCCAGAGCUCCGGUAAUCUUCCCCGGUGAGCUCCACCGGACUGGUCAAGAUGAACCAUCAUUAAAAUAAAAAACAGGGACAUGAUCUUGAAGAAAAAAUGGCACUGAGCUCGAAUCUGACCUUCAAUUAUUCCAAUUCCAAAUAUAUUGAGAGAUAUGUGGAUUUGAAAAUUGAGGUACAUGGUCUGAGUUGCUUCGAUUUGACCUCAAAGCAACUCAAUCUUCUUGCUUACAUUGGUAGGACUUCAUACAACCAAAGAAUCAAUGGAAUUGAGCAAGAACUUAGGAGAAUCGAAGAAUUUAAUUUUUUUGCAAAUUACCUUCAAUGGAGGUCUGAACACGAUGGGUCUUGAUCUGAAUUGUGCUUGGACUCACUUCAAUCACUUGCAGGAAGAGAAUGGAAAGGUUUAGAAGCAAUGGAUUCCUAGAGAAUUGAAUUCCAAAACAGUGGAGAUUCAAGCUCAAAUUCAAAUGAAUUUAUCAGGUUGAUCCUAUGAGAGUGAAGGGUUUGAAGAGGGGGAUCAAAGAUGUCGCAAUGGUGUGUGUAAUUUUGAGUAUAAGGGCCUCAGUUUAUAGAUGAAUCCAUGUGAUAUUUGCACACUCUCUCCACUUUCUAAAAUUGGCAAAUGAUGAUGGAAUGGUGCAUGGGCGCGCAUAGGCCCAUGAAAUGAUAGCUGCAGGUCCAAAAUGAAUGAUCAGAUGUGUUGGAGUUAGCUUAGAUUGCAAGGCAAGUGUGCAUUGUUGCUUGAAGAUUGAUCCAUGCCAAAUGAUAUCAGCCUGUUUAAGCCAUGCGCAGCCUAUGCAUUUCUCAUCCAAAAUGAAUGAAUUUGAGCUCUUUGGAAAGGUGAGAUCAAGAGGAACAAGUUUGAUGUUGAACACUUUUUCAUUUGGAACUUGGAACUUGGAGAAAUUUGAGGUGGAAGUUUGGAAAAUUUUGACAUAUCAAAAUUUUUCUAAGUGUCAAGCCAUAUGUCUCAAUAUUCCACCUUGCUUAACUUUUUAUAUGAGCUUCAAAUGAGAAACGUGUCUUCAUAAAAGUUAUCUCUCUCUCAAAGACAUUCAUAAUGGUCACCAAUUUCAUGUCAUUUGGAUUUGAAAUGAUAGAGUUAUGCAUUUUUGAAGUUUGGAAAAAUCACUUGCUCAAUGGUAUAGGUCAAAAGUGACCUAUAAUGUAGCUUCAUAUCACAUGCUCAAAAAAGUUGAAUUAGCUCCCACUCCAAACAUAAAAGUUGAAUUAGACACAUUGAAUUUGAUUGUGAAACUUGGAAAUAUUUCAUCUCAUAAAAAUUAAGCAAGUUAUGGCCUUCGGAAGUUAACUUUUAAAUUAGGGUUUAGACAAAAUGACCUAUAAUGUUUCAACAUAGAAAAUGACUUUCCAAGCAAAACUAGCUCUAGGUCUUAACAUGAAAGUUGUUUGGAAUGUCAUUUAGAGUAAUAUUUCUCUUGGAAUCAUUUUCAUAUGGUGAAAAUUGUAGGAUAUAGGGUCUAGGGAGACCCAGAUUUGAUCAGAUGAAUUCAUGUGGCCAACCACCAUCAACCAACUUGCUAACUUCCAAUUCUCUUGACUUUCUUGGCUCAUGGUAGAUCAUAUAUACAUAAUAUGAUGAAUAUUAAAGUGUACCUUAAGGAAUUUGAUCAAUUGGUGAGAUAGCUUAUUGGAGAAGUUACUCAAGAUACCCAGUCAAAUUAGGGUUUCCAAGGCAAAUCACCCUCAAACUCUUGAAGCAGACUUGAUCAAUAUAACAUGUAAAGAACAUUGGAAUCAUAUAUGAUGCUCAUAACCAUUAUUAAAUCAAUUCAUGGUUGUGCUUUUUGUUCAUAAGGGUCUCAAACCCUAGAUGUGAACUUGAUGAAUCAAUGAGAUCAUGCCCUACCUACAAAAGAGUUAGGCAAAAUGCAAAGACAUAUUGUUGGUAUUUUAGUUAGUAAAAUGAUAGUAUACAAGUAUGAAAUAAUCACAAAAUGCUUGGUGAUCUCUCGCAAAAUAAACCCAAUGAAAAGGGAUAAGGAGGAUGCCAAGGUAUGAUCCCAAUGCUUAUGCUUAUGAUGAAAUUGCAUGAGGGAUCUUAGGGUCAAAAUUGGGGUCUUACACAGCGGAGGAGAAGAAGAAAGGAAAUCGGAAAAGGAAGAAGCGAUACAUACCUCUUGAUUCAUUGUGCCGGACGGUAAACGCGAUCGCUCCAACCUCCACCACCAGUUACAAACACCGGUGAACAGAACGACAAGAAUCGGAAAUAGAAGCAGGUCGGUGCAAACGCAACGCG
RNAcentral lists this long non-coding RNA (5322 nucleotides) under Lathyrus oleraceus (garden pea). RNAcentral's name for it is "Pisum sativum (pea) long non-coding RNA (PSAT_LNC008758)". Lineage: Eukaryota; Viridiplantae; Streptophyta; Magnoliopsida; Fabales; Fabaceae. The record is from RNAcentral.